Molecule: ribosomal RNA, 749 nt
Filed under: uncultured Flavobacterium sp.
Lineage: Bacteria; Pseudomonadati; Bacteroidota; Flavobacteriia; Flavobacteriales; Flavobacteriaceae
Description: bacterial SSU rRNA
Rfam family: Bacterial small subunit ribosomal RNA
Source: RNAcentral
AGAGGGAUAGCCCAGAGAAAUUUGGAUUAAUACCUCAUAGUAUAUAGACCUGGCAUCAGGAUUAUAUUAAAGUCACAACGGUAAAAGAUGAGCAUGCGUCCCAUUAGCUAGUUGGUAAGGUAACGGCUUACCAAGGCUACGAUGGGUAGGGGUCCUGAGAGGGAGAUCCCCCACACUGGUACUGAGACACGGACCAGACUCCUACGGGAGGCAGCAGUGAGGAAUAUUGGACAAUGGGCGCAAGCCUGAUCCAGCCAUGCCGCGUGCAGGAUGACGGUCCUAUGGAUUGUAAACUGCUUUUAUACAGGAAGAAACACUGGUUCGUGAACCAGCUUGACGGUACUGUAAGAAUAAGGAUCGGCUAACUCCGUGCCAGCAGCCGCGGUAAUACGGAGGAUCCAAGCGUUAUCCGGAAUCAUUGGGUUUAAAGGGUCCGUAGGCGGUUUAAUAAGUCAGUGGUGAAAGCCCAUCGCUCAACGGUGGAACGGCCAUUGAUACUGUUAAACUUGAAUUAUUAGGAAGUAACUAGAAUAUGUAGUGUAGCGGUGAAAUGCUUAGAGAUUACAUGGAAUACCAAUUGCGAAGGCAGGUUACUACUAAUGGAUUGACGCUGAUGGACGAAAGCGUGGGUAGCGAACAGGAUUAGAUACCCUGGUAGUCCACGCCGUAAACGAUGGAUACUAGCUGUUGGAAGCAAUUUCAGUGGCUAAGCGAAAGUGAUAAGUAUCCCACCUGGGGAGACGUCGCAA